GAAUGGAUAAUCCUUGCAAAUGAUUGGAAGACUCCUUCAGGGCGGCAAUAAUCCAGACAAUCUGUUGCUUGCUGGGUUCAGCCCUAUCAGUUGUUGUCAUAAUCUCACUGGGGUUGCUACUAGUGGUGAUCUCUUCUGGUGAGUCUGGUUAUUUAAGCACUAAGGUGUGUUAGCUGACUGUUUUGGUCAUGGGAGCAGGAUGUUCUUCCUUAUUUAUAGUCUUCUAUCAUUGCUGACUUUUUCCUUAUUUCACUUUCCAUUAUAACUGACAGUUCUUAUUUUUGCACUCCCAGUGGGUACGCUUUUUGGAAGAUGGGUCUGUGAAUUACAUAGUUGGUAAUGGAUCUUAUUUCUAGUCUUCUAUCAUUGCUGACUUUUCUCGAAUAUCCAGUUUAUAAAAAUAUUUCUGGCAAUAAGAGCAAAGCAACCUGACUAUCUGGUUACUGCUGAUGAUGUUGAUUCAUACCUUGCCAUUGAAGUAAAGCCCCUUGAUGGCAGGAACAGGAUGGUCAAGUGGAGCUUGCUGCCGUAGGAGUUUCCAUUGCUAUAUUUAAUCAAGUAUCAAGGGUUCCUAUCUUCAGAGGAUUUUUUUGACGCUACUCGCGCUGGGAGUACCAUAUAGAGGGAUUUUUUUUAUAUAUAAAAUUAUUUAAGACUAUUUUCAAUUUAUUAUAUAA
Magnolia sinica is the source of this 677-nucleotide long non-coding RNA. RefSeq lists it as uncharacterized. The transcript has 3 exons. Lineage: Eukaryota; Viridiplantae; Streptophyta; Magnoliopsida; Magnoliales; Magnoliaceae. The record is from RefSeq and is a predicted model, not a curated record.